CUAAAAGGGAUUGGAGGAGACUUUGGGAGAUGUUGGAUAUGUUCUUGGCCUUGAUGGUUUCAUGGGUAUGUUUAUCCCCAAACUCAUUGAAUUGUAUGCAUUAAAUAUGUACAGUUUUUAAUAUGUCAGUCAUACCUCAAUAAAGUGGUAUAAAACAUAAAAGAGUAUUACUGUUCUUCACAGACUCUUCUGAAGUGCUCAUAACUUUCUUAAGAACAUUGCCAGCAUCUGAUCAUCACUACAGAAAUGGUGAAAACAAGGGGUCACCUCCUAUAUUUUCAAGACAAGAAAAAAGAGAAGCAAGUGUCAGUCCUGGGAUUCAUCCCCGCGCCUCCUGGCCAUCUGUUCAAGUUUCCUUCCGACAGACCAGGCCAUCUCAAUGACCUUCAGAAGCAGAGUGAGAAGACCUCGGAGUUGUGCUGGGUUCCUCAGUUCAGCCCUGAGCAGCACAGAGACUAUGCAAGUCCUGAAACCAAGAGUGAGAAGUUGGAUUGGCCCUCCUGUGUACACUCCUGGUGACCUACCUGUAGAAUUCUUACUUCUUGUCCUUUAACACUUAAACUCUGUUUGCCCUGGUUCUUGUGAGAGGGACUGAAGAACUUCCUGCAGGGGACACAGUAAAGGUACUAGUAAUCUAUAUUUCCAUAAAUCUGAAGCUGUGACUACUACCCAAUCAGUUUAGGCAUCUUAUGCUGAUGGACCAUAUCGGCAAGGGUGAUGAUCAUGAAGAACUGGAAUUGCUGCCACAUAGCAAGAAUAGGAAAGAAUAUGUCUUGAACUAAAGGAAUUCCCUUGGUGUCUGUCGGAGCUUCCAAAGCCCAGUGCUAACUGUUAAUGGACAAGGACAAAAAGCACAGCCCCAAAUCAGUAAAGCAACUAAAGGUUCUGAUUCUUUGAGCAUGACGGCCUGGGUUCACCAUAGUGUUGGCUGACGGGGAGGGAAAGCUAAAACAUGUGAUGCAGAAAGAGGAUGAAAA
RNAcentral lists this long non-coding RNA (977 nucleotides) under Macaca fascicularis (crab-eating macaque). RNAcentral's name for it is "lncRNA (ENSMFAG00000057646.1)". Lineage: Eukaryota; Metazoa; Chordata; Mammalia; Primates; Cercopithecidae. The record is from RNAcentral.